UACCGCGUGUGUGAAGAAGGCCUUAGGGUUGUAAAGCACUUUCAAUUGGGAGGAAAACCUACCGGUCAAUACCCGGUAGCUUGACAUUACCUUUAGAAGAAGCACCGGCUAACUCCGUGCCAGCAGCCGCGGUAAUACGGAGGGUGCGAGCGUUAAUCGGAAUUACUGGGCGUAAAGCGUGCGUAGGCGGUUCGUUAAGUCAGAUGUGAAAGCCCUGGGCUCAACCUGGGAACUGCAUUUGAAACUGGCGGACUAGAGUUUAGUAGAGGGGAGUGGAAUUUCAGGUGUAGCGGUGAAAUGCGUAGAUAUCUGAAGGAACACCAGUGGCGAAGGCGACUCCCUGGACUAGAACUGACGCUGAGGUACGAAAGCGUGGGUAGCAAACAGGAUUAGAUACCCUGGUAGUCCACGCCGUAAACGAUGUCAACUAGCCGUUGGGCCUAUAUACAGGUUUAGUGGCGCAGCUAACGCAUUAAGUUGACCGCCUGGGGAGUACGGCCGCAAGGUUAAAACUCAAAUGAAUUGACGGGGGCCCGCACAAGCGGUGGAGCAUGUGGUUUAAUUCGAUGCAACGCGAAGAACCUUACCUACCCUUGACAUCCAGAGAAU
Molecule: ribosomal RNA, 609 nt
Filed under: uncultured bacterium
Lineage: Bacteria
Description: bacterial SSU rRNA
Rfam family: Bacterial small subunit ribosomal RNA
Source: RNAcentral